RNAcentral lists this ribosomal RNA (430 nucleotides) under uncultured bacterium. Its description in RNAcentral is "partial 16S ribosomal RNA". It matches the Rfam family "Bacterial small subunit ribosomal RNA", at positions 29 to 506 of the family's 1533-position model. The record is from RNAcentral.
AACGAACGCUGGCGGCAGGCUUAACACAUGCAAGUCGAACGCCCCGCAAGGGGAGUGGCAGACGGGUGAGUAACGCGUGGGAACAUACCCUUUUCUACGGAAUAGCUCUGGGAAACUGGAAUUAAUACCGUAUACGCCCUACGGGGGAAAGAUUUAUCGGGGAAGGAUUGGCCCGCGUUGGAUUAGCUAGUUGGUGGGGUAAAGGCCUACCAAGGCGACGAUCCAUAGCUGGUCUGAGAGGAUGAUCAGCCACAUUGGGACUGAGACACGGCCCAAACUCCCACGGGAGGGAGCAGUGGGGAAAAAUGGAACAUGGGCGCAAACCUGAACCAGCCCUGCCGGGUGAGUGAAGGAAGCCUUAGGGUUUUUAAGGUCCUUCCCCCGUGAAGAUAAUGGCCGUAAUCGGGGAAGGAGCCCCGGCUAACCUCGU